This 428-nucleotide ribosomal RNA is filed under the name uncultured prokaryote. RNAcentral describes it as "bacterial SSU rRNA". It matches the Rfam family "Bacterial small subunit ribosomal RNA", at positions 355 to 774 of the family's 1533-position model. The record is from RNAcentral.
UGAGGAAUAUUGCGCAAUGGGGGCAACCCUGACGCAGCAACGCCGCGUGAGUGAGGAAGGUUUUCGGAUUGUAAAGCUCUGUCGAGCGGAAAGAAAUGCAUUAUGGCUAAUAUCCAUAAUGCUUGACGGUACCGCUAAAGGAAGCACCGGCUAACUCCGUGCCAGCAGCCGCGGUAAUACGGGGGGUGCAAGCGUUGUUCGGAAUCAUUGGGCGUAAAGAGCGUGUAGUCGGCUUAACAAGUCAGAGGUGAAAUCCCUGGGCUGAACCCAGGAAGUGCAUUUGAAACUGUUUGGCUUGAGGAAGGUAGAGGAAAGUGGAAUUCCUGGUGUAGAGGUGAAAUUCGUAGAUAUCAGGAGGAACACCGGUGGCGAAGGCGACUUUCUGGCCCUAUACUGACGCUGAGACGCGAAAGCGUGGGUAGCAAACA